This 3839-nucleotide small RNA is filed under the name Candidatus Yanofskybacteria bacterium RIFCSPLOWO2_01_FULL_44_88. RNAcentral describes it as "bacterial LSU rRNA". The stretch from base 2 to 2985 matches the Rfam family "Bacterial large subunit ribosomal RNA". The record is from RNAcentral. Lineage: Bacteria; Candidatus Yanofskyibacteriota.
CAUUAAAGAAUUAAGGGCGUAUGGAGGAUGCCUUGACACGAAAGAGCGAAGAAGGUCGUGGCGUGACUGCGAUAAGCUUCGGGGAGCCGUCUAGCGGGCUUUGAUCCGGAGAUGACCGAAUGGGGGAACCCCAUCGAGCAAACCUCGAUGACCCGGCGCAAGCUGGGAGCGUACCUGGCGAAGUGAAACAUCUCAGUAGCCAGAGGAAAAGAAAUCAACAAGAUUCCCUUAGUAGCGGCGAGCGAAAAGGGAUAAGCCUAAACUUUUUUAACGCAAGUUAAAAAGGGGUAAUAAGGAUAGAACACUUGAAUUUUUAUCGUUGCGCUUUCGAAGGCAGCGGUAAAAAUUUGAAAGAAGUUACAAAUUCCAAAGUUAGCAGAACGGCCUUGGAACAGCCGGCCAAAGAAGGUGAUAGCCCUGUAAGCGAAAACUUCUGGAACUUCUGUUUUAUUGCGGCGCAAGCCGCCUUGCUUGAGUAGCCCGGGAUAAGAAUGUCCUGGGUGAAUUUGCCCAUACUACUGGGUAAGGCUAAAUAUCUUUCGUGAUCGAUAGUGAACCAGUACCGUGAGGGAAAGGUGAAAAGCACCCCGGUGAGGGGAGUGAAAUAGCAACUGAAACCAUAUGCCUACAAAGAGCGGAAGUCCUUCGGCGGCAGCAAUGCCGUCUGGGAUGACCGUGUGCCUAUUGAAGAAUGACCCAACGAGUUUAUCCAAAUUGCUCUAUAAGUGCCUCUGGCACGUAUGGAAAGGGAAACCGAGUGUUAAAAGCGCGUAUUAGAACUAAAUAAAAUUUUCUUUAAAAAGAAAGUUUUAAUAGUUCUAGAAGCAGUUUGGGUAAGACCCGAAGCCAGGCGAGCUAACCAUGCCCAGGAUGAAGGUUGUCGAAAGACAACUGGAGGUCCGAACUGGUUGGUAGCGCAAUACCAUCGGAUGAGGUGUGGUUCGUAGUGAAAAGCUUAUCGAGCCUGGUAAUAGCUGGUUCUCCCCGAAAUGCCUUUAGGGGCAGCGGCGGAUUGUAGUUGAGGGGGUAGAGCACUGAUUGGUUUGCCGUGCCCGCAAGGGUAGGCUUACCAAAUAAACUCCGAAUACCUCAGCGUAAUUUCCGCCAGUGAGUAAGCGAGGGCAAAGCUUCGUUUACGCGAGGGAAACAGCCCAGAUCAUCAAUUAAGGUCCCAAAAUCUAUGCUAAGUGAAAAGGAAGUAUUCUGCCUUAGACAGGUAGGAUGUUGGCUUAGAAGCAGCCAUCAUUUAAAAAGUGCGUAAUAGCUUACUACUCGAUUUCGCCGCAAGGCGACGAGGCAGGAUGCGCCGAAAAUUUAUAGGGGCUAAGCAUAGUACCGAAAUUAUGGGUUUGAUGAUUUCGAAAAGGAUUUGUGGUGCCGUAGCUCAGUCAGAGCACUGGGUCCCGGGCCCAGAGGUCGACGGUUCAAAUCCGUCCGGCGCCACCAACCUGUCGGAUUAAAAUCAGGCGAGACCUGAUAAUCCGAUCUUUUUCGAAAUCAUCAAGCGGUAGGGGAGCAUUCUGAUUGCUGUGAAGGUGAACUGUGAAGUUUGCUGGAGCGUUCAGAAGGGAGAAUGUUGGGAUGAGUAACCGCAAGUGGCGUGAAAACCGCCACCGCCGAAAGCCUAAGGUUUCCUCCGCGAUGUCAAUCAUCGGAGGGUUAGGCGUCCCUAAGCGUAACCUAGCUUGCGGGCUAGGGAUCGCGAUGGUGAGCCGGUUAAUAUUCCGGCCCCGCUUACAUAUUCGAAGGAGUGACGGGCUAAAUUAGAUCGAGCGCAUUAUUGGAUUUGACGUCUUUGCUCAUAGAGUGGGAACCAGGCAAAUCCGGUUCCAGCCGAAAGGCGCACUCGAGAGUGAAAGAAAUGGCCGUUAGGCCAGAUUCGAUUGACGAGGGCUCCAAGAAAAGCUUCUAAGAUUAAUAUGUAAGCGCACGUACCGAAAACCGAAACAGGUGGGCUGGUGUAAGUGCACCAAGGCGAACGGGUGAUUAUUGGCUAAGGAACUCGGCAAAAAAGCGGCCGUAAGUUCGCGAUAAGGCCUUCCCCAGCUAACGCAAGUUAGAUGGGGACGCAGCUAAAGACCCUCUGGCGACUGUUUAUCAAAAACACAACUCCGUGCUAAGCCGUAAGGCGCUGUAUACGGGGUGACGCUUGUCCGGUGCCGGAACGUUAACGGUGAAGGUGGCGGGUAGCAAUACCCUCUGCCAACGCCCGAAGCGCCGGUGAACGACGGCAGUAACUAUAACUGUCUAAAAGUAGCAAAAUACCUUGUGGGGUAAGUUCCCACGCGCAUGAAUAGCGGAACGACUGGAGGACUGUCUCAGCCAAUAGCCCGGUGAAAAUGCAAUGUCGGUAAAGAUGCCGACUACCCGCACCUAGACGGAAAGACCCCGGAAGCUUUACUGUAGCUUGGUAUUGGUCUAUGGGUUUUAAUGCGUAGCGUAGUGGGUACACUUUGAAGCGUCUCUCUCGGGAGACGUGGAGUGGCCAAUGAAACACCCAUCUUUAAAAUCUAUAGCUCUAACCGGUGACACCCUAAAAGCGUGAAAUGAAAAUUUCAAAUUUUUAGGGUUUCAUCGAGACAGUGCCUGGCGGGCAGUUUUUGUGGGGCACAAUCCUCCUAAAAGGUAAUGGAGGAGUUCAUCAAGGUUGGCUAGCUCCGGAUGGAAAUCGGAGCGAUAGUGUAAAGGCACAAGCCAGCUUAACUGCAAGGCGGAUAUGCCGCGCAGAUGCGAAAGCAGGACCUAGUGAACCGACCGUGGCUCGUAGGAGCGCGGAAGAUCAUCAGAUAAAAGCUACUCCGGGGAUAAACUCUGCGUAACACAUACAUAAUUUUGUGUUACAAUAAGAGUAUGUUGUCCCGUUUGUCCGUAAGGACAAACAUGAUUACGGCUUAUAACGAAGAACCUAUAGAACGGUCUUUCCUGUGCGAAAGCACAUUUCUCUUCUAUAGCAACCUCGUGGGAAGUCGUGAGCGUCUUGAAUCUAAACAAAACACAAUUAGCUGUAAUUUACGGCUCAAUUAUGGGCGAUGCUUAUUUGCAGUCCAACGGCACGAAUGCCAGAUUGCGAUUUGAACAUUCUCUUAAUCAAGAGCAGUACGUUGUUUGGAAAUUUAAUUUCCUAAAGAAUAUAUUUUCAGAUUCGGCUAUUGUAAAAAUUAACAGGAUUCAUCCUAAAACCAAGCAAGAAUAUAAAUACGUUCGAUGCCAAUCUAAAACAUUGCCGGAAUUGAAGAAAAUUAAAGUUAUUUUCUAUCCAGCGGGCAAAAAGAUUGUGCCGUUAAGUAUUAAAAAGUAUUUGAUAGAACCUAUUUCUCUUGCGGUGUGGUUUAUGGAUGACGGAUAUUAUUAUCUUAGAGAUAAAUGCGGAUAUUUAUAUCUUGGAAAUAUAACGAAAGAAGAAGCUGAAGUUUGCAGCGAUACCUUGCAGAAUAAUUUUAAUCUAAAAACUAAGGUUCUAGCAAAGAAAAAAGGGUAUGCGUUAUAUUUUUCAAGAUUAGAGAUGUUAAAACUCAAAAAAGUAGUUUCUGAAUUCAUGAUCCCAAUGUUUAGAUACAAGUUACCUCAUUGACCCCGUAACGACUUGUUCUGGGUACAGUUUUUAAAAACUGGCCAGACUUAUAGCCCCCAUUCAUUAAUGGCUAUAAUACGCCGUCUCCAGUCUUUUUACAGAAAAAGCUGGAUGAAGAUAUAGUCUAAUACAUUAAUGUAUUGAACAGGCUGGUACCGCCCGAGCGUCCUUAGCGACGGCGGUGUUCGGCACCUCGAUGUCGGCUCGGCUUAUCCUGGGACUGAAGAAGGCCCCAAGGGUUUGGCUGUUCGCCAAUUAAAAAGCUACG